AGGGCGCUACCAGGAGUGGAUCCUGCGGCUCAAUUUGACUCAACACGGGAGAGCUCACCUGGUCCGGACACUGGAAGGAUUGACAGAUUAAGAGCUCUUUCUUGAUUCAGUGGGUGGUGGUGCAUGGCCGUUCUUAGUUGGUGGAGCGAUUUGUCUGGUUAAUUCCGAUAACGAACGAGACUCUAGCCUACUAAAUAGGUGUUCCGAUCCCAUCAGUCGGACGCUCUUCUUAGAGGGACAAGCGGCGUUUAGCCGCACGAGACAGAGCAAUAACAGGCCUGUGAUGCCCUUAGAUGUCCGGGGCCGCACGCGCGCUACACUGAAGGAACCAGCGUGUGUCCCUGUCCGGCAGGACUGGGUAAUCCGUUGAACCUCCUUCGUGAUAGGGAUAGGGGCUUGUAAUUGUUCCCCUUGAACAAGGAAUUCCCAGUAAGCGUGAAUCAUCAGUUCACGUUGAUUACGUCCCUGGCCUUUGUACACACCGCCCGCCGCUACUACUGAUUGGAUGAUUUAUUGAGG
RNAcentral lists this ribosomal RNA (519 nucleotides) under uncultured eukaryote. RNAcentral describes it as "bacterial SSU rRNA". It matches the Rfam family "Eukaryotic small subunit ribosomal RNA", at positions 1161 to 1706 of the family's 1831-position model. The record is from RNAcentral.